UACGUAGGUCCCGAGCGUUGUCCGGAUUUAUUGGGCGUAAAGCGAGCGCAGGUGGUUUAUUAAGUCUGGUGUAAAAGGCAGUGGCUCAACCAUUGUAUGCAUUGGAAACUGGUAGGCUUGAGUGCAGGAGAGGAGAGUGGAAUUCCAUGUGUAGCGGUGAAAUGCGUAGAUAUAUGGAGGGACACCGGUGGCGAAAGCGGCUCUCUGGCCUGUAACUGACACUGAGGCUCGAAAGCGUGGGGAGCAAACAGG
Molecule: ribosomal RNA, 252 nt
Filed under: uncultured bacterium
Lineage: Bacteria
Description: partial 16S ribosomal RNA
Rfam family: Bacterial small subunit ribosomal RNA
Source: RNAcentral